Molecule: ribosomal RNA, 274 nt
Filed under: uncultured bacterium
Lineage: Bacteria
Description: partial 16S ribosomal RNA
Rfam family: Bacterial small subunit ribosomal RNA
Source: RNAcentral
AUACGGAGGGGGCAAGCGUUGUUCGGAAUUAUUGGGCGUAAAGGGCACGUAGGCGGUCAAGCAAGUUGGUGGUGAAAGCCCUCGGCUCAACCGGGGAAUUGCCCCCAAAACUGCUCGACUUGAGUCGCGGAGAGGGUGGCGGAAUUCCCAGUGUAGCGGUGAAAUGCGUAGAUAUUGGGAGGAACACCAGUGGCGAAGGCGGUCACCUGGACGGGUACUGACGCUGAGGUGCGAAAGCGUGGGGAGCAAACAGGAUUAGAAACCCGGGUAGUCC